UUCCGGUUGAUCCUGCCGGACCUGACUGCUAUCGGAUUGAUACUAAGCCAUGCGAGUCGUUGUACAAUACAAGGCGUACUGCUCAGUAACACGUAGUCGAUCUAACCUAUGGAUGGGGAUAACCUCGGGAAACUGAGAAUAAUACCCAAUAGGCCAUUAUGCCUGGAAUGGUUUAUGGCUUAAAUGAUUUAUCGCCGUAGGAUGGGACUGCGGCCUAUCAGCUUGUUGGUGAGGUAAUGGCCCACCAAGGCUAUAACAGGUACGGGCUCUGAGAGGAGGAGCCCGGAGAUGGGUACUGAGACACGGACCCAGGUCCUAUGGGGCGCAGCAGGCGAGAAAACUUUGCAAUGUGCGGAAGCACGACAAGGUUAAUCCGAGUGAUUUCUGCUAAAGGAAUCUUUUGUUAGUCGUAGAACCACUAGUGAAUAAGGGGUGGGCAAGUUCUGGUGUCAGCCGCCGCGGUAAAACCAGCACCUCAAGUGGUCAGGAGGAUUAUUGGGCCUAAAGCAUCCGUAGCCGGCUAGGUAAGUUUUCUGUUAAAUCCAUGCGCUUAACGUAUGGGCUGCAGGGAAUACUGCCUAGCUAGGGAGUG
RNAcentral lists this ribosomal RNA (592 nucleotides) under uncultured archaeon. RNAcentral's name for it is "bacterial SSU rRNA". It matches the Rfam family "Archaeal small subunit ribosomal RNA", at positions 1 to 601 of the family's 1478-position model. The record is from RNAcentral.